Molecule: long non-coding RNA, 349 nt
Organism: Elgaria multicarinata webbii
Lineage: Eukaryota; Metazoa; Chordata; Lepidosauria; Squamata; Anguidae
Exons: 3
Source: RefSeq, a predicted model, not a curated record
GUGGAUCGAGAAAAUGGACAAAGUUUUGCAUCACAGUAUGGCCUGUGUGUGCAUGUCGUAUAUGGAUCUGCAUUUAAUACCAUCCUUUCUUUUCAGACAGAAGGUGUCCUGAGAAAUUCUCCACAGAAAUGAUUCCACCAUGAAAACCAGUAAAUUUUAUGCCAGAUCAUCUAAGCUGCUUACAAAAUGAGAAAUGUCUGGAAAGCAAUAUUUGGUGGGUGACAAGAUGGGCCCAUUAUCCAGAGCCUUGAUACAACAAUGGAAAUGAAUAGCAGAAAGGAAUGUUGAUUUCAGAGCUCCUGAAAAAGGAUCAGAAGAUCCGAAACGUUGAGCUUUUUUAUACAUUAAG